AGUGAAUAGAUACCCGGGUAGUCCUAGCCGUAAACGAUACUCGCUAGGUGUCGGCCACGGUGCGACCGUUGUCGGUGCCGUAGGGAAAGCCGUGAAGCGAGCCACCUGGGAAGUACGGCCGCAAGGCUGAAACUUAAAGGAAUUGGCGGGGGAGCACCACAACGGGUGGAGCUUGCGGUUUAAUUGGAUUCAACGCCGGAAAUCUUACCGGGACCGACAGCAACAUGAAGGCCAGGCUGAAGACUUUGCCGGAUUAGCUGAGAGGUGGUGCAUGGCCGUCGUCAGUUCGUACUGUGAAAGCAUCCUGUUAAGUCAGGCAACGAGCGAGACCCACGCCCACAGUUGCCAGCGUACUCUCCGGAGUGACGGGUACACUGUGGGGACCGCCGCUGCUAAAGCGGAGGAAGGAAUGGGCAACGGUAGGUCAGUAUGCCCCGAAUAUCCCGGGCUACACGCGAGCUACAAUGGUUGGUACAAUGGGUAUCUACCCCGAAAGGGGAUGAAAUCUCCUAAAGCCAAUCUUAGUUCGGAUUGAGGGCUGCAACUCGCCCUC
This 553-nucleotide ribosomal RNA is filed under the name uncultured bacterium. Its description in RNAcentral is "bacterial SSU rRNA". It matches the Rfam family "Archaeal small subunit ribosomal RNA", at positions 725 to 1275 of the family's 1478-position model. The record is from RNAcentral.